AUUUACUUAUUUGAUAUCUAAGUACAUCAUAUUGUAUAAAUUUUUGUGAAAAAAUGGUUCAUGUGAAGAACAAUAAACUAUCUCAGAAGAGAUUGAAGUGAAUCAAAUGCAUUGGCCACAAUGAAUUAAUUAAUUUUCAUAAGGUAUGCAUGUAUUAUUUCUCGCAACAAUUAACAUAUAAGAGUGAUGUGCAUAGCUUUGGUGUUAUUCU
This 211-nucleotide long non-coding RNA is filed under the name Carica papaya (papaya). RNAcentral describes it as "long non-coding RNA (CPAP_LNC000472)". Lineage: Eukaryota; Viridiplantae; Streptophyta; Magnoliopsida; Brassicales; Caricaceae. The record is from RNAcentral.